This 497-nucleotide ribosomal RNA is filed under the name uncultured bacterium. Its description in RNAcentral is "partial 16S ribosomal RNA". It matches the Rfam family "Bacterial small subunit ribosomal RNA", at positions 28 to 507 of the family's 1533-position model. The record is from RNAcentral.
GAUGAACGCUGGCGGCGUGCCUAAUACAUGCAAGUCGAGCGAACGGACGAGAAGCUUGCUUCUCUGAUGUUAGCGGCGGACGGGUGAGUAACACGUGGAUAACCUACCUAUAAGACUGGGAUAACUUCGGGAAACCGGAGCUAAUACCGGAUGAUAUUUUGAACCGCAUGGUUCAAAAGUGAAAGACGGUCUUGCUGUCACUUAUAGAUGGAUCCGCGCUGCAUUAGCUAGUUGGUAAGGUAACGGCUUACCAAGGCAACGAUGCAUAGCCGACCUGAGAGGGUGAUCAGCCACACUGGAACUGAGACACGGUCCAGACUCCUACGGGAGGCAGCAGUAGGGAAUCUUCCGCAAUGGGCGAAAGCCUGACGGAGCAACGCCGCGUGAGUGAUGAAGGUCUUCGGAUCGUAAAACUCUGUUAUUAGGGAAGAACAUAUGUGUAAGUAACUGUGCACAUCUUGACGGUACCGUAUCAGAAAGCCACGGCUAACUACGUG